Echinops telfairi (small Madagascar hedgehog) is the source of this 457-nucleotide long non-coding RNA. RefSeq lists it as uncharacterized. NCBI's taxonomy places the organism in Eukaryota, Metazoa, Chordata, Mammalia, Afrosoricida, Tenrecidae. The transcript is spliced from 2 exons. The record is from RefSeq and is a predicted model, not a curated record.
ACAUUCAUUUACUGAGUAUCAAAUAAUAUUUUUUUUCAGGUGGUUCUUAGGAAUGACGCCCAAGUAGAACGUGCUUGUAUUUGUUUAUGAUCACCAUAUAGUCCAAUUUCCUCUUUUACAGAUGGAAAACCCAAAGCCUUGAGAAACCUGAGUGACUUCCAGUAAUAGACCAGGUGCUUUGUAGCAGAGUCAGAAUUAAAGUCCAGGUCUCCCUGUCUGUUCAUUCAGCCACAGUCAUCAUUGUGGAGCCCCUGGGUGGUGUGCACGGUCAGCGAACUCCACUGCUUCUGGAAAGGUUGGAAGUUGGAGUUCACGCAAGAUACUUCUCAGAAGAAAGGCCGGGUGAACCUACUUCUGAAAAAUCUCAGCCCUUGAAAGCCCUGUGGCGCACACUCUGGUACACUUGGAGUCACAUGACUUAGAGUUGACACAAUAAACAACCUGUGUUUUAAAAUCA